CCUACGGGAGGCAGCAGUGGGGAAUAUUGCGCAAUGGGCGAAAGCCUGACGCAGCGACGCCGCGUGAGGGAUGAAGGUCUUCGGAUCGUAAACCUCUGUCAGUAGGGAAGAACGGUCACUGUGCUAAUCAGCAGUGAAUUGACGGUACCUGCAAAGGAAGCACCGGCUAACUCCGUGCCAGCAGCCGCGGUAAUACGGUGGGUGCGAGCGUUAAUCGGAAUUACUGGGCGUAAAGCGCUCGUAGGCGGUAUGUCAAGUCAAGGGUGAAAUCCCCGGGCUCAACGUGGGAACUGCCUUUGAAACUGGCAGACUGGAGUGUGUGAGAGGAUAGUGGAAUUCCGGGUGUAGGAGUGAAAUCCGUAGAUAUCUGGAGGAACAUCAGUGGCGAAGGCGACUAUCUGGCACAUAACUGACGCUGAGGAGCGAAAGCGUGGGUAGCAAACAGGAUUAGAUACCCGGGUAGUC
Molecule: ribosomal RNA, 465 nt
Filed under: uncultured bacterium
Lineage: Bacteria
Description: partial 16S ribosomal RNA
Rfam family: Bacterial small subunit ribosomal RNA
Source: RNAcentral